This 520-nucleotide unclassified non-coding RNA is filed under the name uncultured Entrophospora. RNAcentral's name for it is "SSU rRNA". It matches the Rfam family "Eukaryotic small subunit ribosomal RNA", at positions 569 to 1087 of the family's 1831-position model. The record is from RNAcentral. Lineage: Eukaryota; Fungi; Glomeromycota; Glomeromycetes; Entrophosporales; Entrophosporaceae.
AGCAGCCGCGGUAAUUCCAGCUCCAAUAGCGUAUAUUAAAGUUGUUGCAGUUAAAAGCUCGUAGUUGAAUUUCGGGAUUGACACAUCGGUCGUGCCUUAAGGGGUAUGAACUGGUGUAGUCAAUUUCUCACCUUCUGGAGAACCGCGAUGCCCUUAAUUGGGUGUCGCGGGGAACCAGGACCUUUACUUUGAAAAAUUAGAGUGUUUAAAGCAGGCAUUUUGCUUGAAUACAUUAGCAUGGAAUAAUAAAAUAGGACGGCAUGAUUCUAUUUUGUUGGUUUCUAGGAUCACCGUAAUGAUUAAUAGGGAUAGUUGGGGGCAUUAGUAUUCAAUUGUCAGAGGUGAAAUUCUUGGAUUUAUUGAAGACUAACUACUGCGAAAGCAUUUGCCAAGGAUGUUUUCAUUAAUCAAGAACGAAAGUUAGGGAUCGAAGACGAUCAGAUACCGUGUAGUCUUAACCAUAAACUAUGCCGACUAGGAAUCAGACGAUGUUAAUUUUUAAUGUACUUCGUUUGGCUAC